UGACACACCGGCAGACUCACAUCUGUGGACAUUUUAUGUAAAAGACAAGUAAUGGGAGAAGGUGAGAUCUUCAAAGUGUCUUGUAACUCAAGAAGGUCUGUACUAUACAAGCACGGAAGGCAGCAAGGGAUUAUAAUUCUCAGAUUCUCCUGGGCUAAGCAGUUGAUGCCUGUGCAGUUACAUCACAGUCAGCAGAACCCGACUAAGUGAAAGGAGCUGGGCCAAUUCCAACUGUAAUUAUUCCUGGAGUGGUGAUACGGAGUCUCCGCGUGUAGGAGAAAUGAGGAGUGACUGCCAUGGAGCCUAUGUGACACAAAUGAAGAUUUGGACACUUGUGUCAAAUGACAGAAGAAAUUCCUAUGUUUGUGGACAAACCAUAACUGACCAGAAACAUUGAAUAACUGAACAACAUUAGAUGCAAGCCUGCAUUCUGGGAAAUUGCUCUUACCACAACAAGAGACGCUGUAUGUAUUCCUCAGAGACUGAGGGGAAGAGCUGGGGAUUAUGUAUCACUUAAAAGUGCCACACACAUUGUCUCCAAACACUGUAGUAAAGAGAAAAGCGUUUUCUAAGGUCAUGGCUUUCCCUCUCUUGGCUGAAAAGUUUUUAAGAGAAAAAAAAAAAAAAAAAAAGAAUGAAAAAUUAAUGAAAGAGGAGAAUUUUUACAUGCUUCACAUUACCUUUGUUUGUUAAGCUAGAGUAUGAUGUGUGGAAAAAUUUUAAAUCUUCAAGGCAUCUUUUAAUAUUUUAGUUACCUGAAAUAUUAACUGAUUUAUUAGGUUCUAUGAUAUUGGAUCCAGGUCAGUACAGGAAAUACUCAGCUGCAGUGAGUCUCUACAAAAAAAUAGGUCAGGCUAUCCAUAUAUCUUCUUAUAUUAUUGGGAAAUUGCUUCCCAGAUAGGAUUGUAAGUAGAAAUGUGAGGUUUUUUUGCAUCUCCCUGAAUCCCCAGUGGCUGCACUGUGACUUCCUGCACAUGCUGUUCCAAUGCCCCUCUGUCCUAGUCCAUAAAAGAGAUCACUUUGUAUUCCCCAGGAUAUCAUGAAAUAUAGAGACAGCGGUAUUUUCCAAUUUGAGAGCAGAGCACAUUGUCGCAUUUGGGGGAAAAGAAAAAACAGUGACCAAACCUUUUGGUUAUGCUUUUGCAAUGUCUUAAUAUCUCAAAGGUGAAAGAGCUUCAAAAGUGUUCUCUGUAGAGAAACACAAAUAUUUUCAAAAACACCAUAUAUUUACUGUACUAAAAGAAUGCAACUUAAAUUCCACUACAGAAUUAUGUAUUUGUCAGAAUAAUUAUAUGAAACAGACUGUACUGUUUGCUCCAGAACUUAUCAGUUUUAUAUACUUGUACAUACAAAAUCAAGAUGAUGAGUGAAAUUCUGCAGUGUCAGAUGUAAAAUGUUGUGGAGGUGAAGCUGAGAUCUGUUAUUUCAGAUGCUGGAUUUUCAGGUUCUGGGUAGUUACCUUAGCCUUUCUUCGAACAUCUGACAGAGAUAUAUGUGGACAUUCCUCUCAUUUUACUCAGCUGAGACUGCAGCUUUCUGCCCAGUAUUGCAGCCAAAACUGAGUUGGAUACAGAGUGUGAGAGCUGAACAUUCUACUGAAAGUCAGGUGUAUUAUCUCAGGCUAUUUGUAGUAGGUUGUUAUGCAGUUUCUCUCAACUGAGACAAUUUCUGCCCAUCUUGGACGUGCUGCAGAAUAAAAUGUGAAACGGAACUUCCAGGAAUGGAAA
Long non-coding RNA from Lagopus leucura (white-tailed ptarmigan), 1727 nucleotides. RefSeq lists it as uncharacterized. The record is from RefSeq and is a predicted model, not a curated record. The transcript has 2 exons. Lineage: Eukaryota; Metazoa; Chordata; Aves; Galliformes; Phasianidae.